This 307-nucleotide ribosomal RNA is filed under the name uncultured bacterium. RNAcentral's name for it is "bacterial SSU rRNA". It matches the Rfam family "Bacterial small subunit ribosomal RNA", at positions 29 to 321 of the family's 1533-position model. The record is from RNAcentral.
AACGAACGCUGGCGGCGCGCUUAACACAUGCAAGUCGAACGAGAAGCUGUAGCAAUACAGUUGUAAAGUGGGCAAACGGGUGAGUAAUGCGUGGGUAAUCUACCCUAGGGUGGGGGAAAUAACUCCUCGAAAGGGGGAGCUAAUGCCGACAUGUGCGCCACUCUCGCAAGGGAGUGAUGGAAAGCCGUACCGUGGGGUGCGGCGCCCAAGGAUGAGCUCACGUCCAUCAGCUUGUUGGCGGGGUAACGGCCCACCAAGGCUGCGACGGGUAGCUGGUCUGAGAGGACGACCAGCCACACUGGGCACU